RNAcentral lists this ribosomal RNA (439 nucleotides) under uncultured bacterium. RNAcentral describes it as "partial 16S ribosomal RNA". It matches the Rfam family "Bacterial small subunit ribosomal RNA", at positions 339 to 795 of the family's 1533-position model. The record is from RNAcentral.
CUACGGGUUGCAGCAGUGGGGAAUCUUAGGCAAUGGGCGCAAGCCUGAUCUAGCCAUGCCGCGUGAGUGAUGAAGGCCUUAGGGUCGUAAAGCUCUUUCGCUGGGGAAGAUAAUGACGGUACCCAGUAAAGAAACCCCGGCUAACUCCGUGCCAGCAGCCGCGGUAAUACGGAGGGGGUUAGCGUUGUUCGGAAUUACUGGGCGUAAAGCGCGCGUAGGCGGACUGUUAAGUCGGGGGUGAAAUCCCGGGGCUCAACCCCGGAACGGCCUUCGAUACUGGCAGUCUGGAGUUCGAGAGAGGUGAGUGGAAUUCCGAGUGUAGAGGUGAAAUUAGUAGAUAUUCGGAGGAACACCAGUGGCGAAGGCGGAUCACUGGCUCGAUACUGACGCUGAGGUGCGAAAGUGUGGGGAGCAAACAGGAUUAGAUACCCCCGUAGUC